Molecule: long non-coding RNA, 3115 nt
Filed under: Homo sapiens (human)
Lineage: Eukaryota; Metazoa; Chordata; Mammalia; Primates; Hominidae
Description: HSALNT0116795
Source: RNAcentral
ACACACACCCGGCGGCUCCCCCCACCACACGGUGACUCCCCCUCACACAGCAGCUCCCCCCACACACGGCCCUCCCCCCACACACACACCCGGCGGCUCCCCCCACCACACGGUGACUCCCCCUCACACAGCAGCUCCCCCCACACACGGCCCUCCCCCCACACACACACCCGGCGGCUCCCCCACACAGAGCUGGGAGGCUCCAGUACUCUCGGAGCUUGGCUGGGGCUCCUGGGGAGGGCCGUGGCUCCUCCUCACCCGCUGGGGAGCCAGGAGUUCCGUGAGUGGUUGAAGCCCUGCUGGGAGGGUUGGGCGUUUCCAGCCAUUCUCACACGGCUUCUCAGCCGGGGUCUCCCACCCCGGCCCUGGCCCUGGGCCUGCCCUCACUGCCUCCUCCCCAUCCCCUACCCCUAGAGGCCUCCUGCCCUGGUCACCUACGCGUCACCUAAGCCCCGAGGCCAGGCGGCUUCUUGUCUACUAAAGACUUCCGGAGAGAGGCAUUCACCCUGUGGUCAGAGCUGGGGUUUCCAUGGAGGAGCACCACAGCCAUAAAGAAAGGCUGGUGAGCCCCAGAGCGGAGGACCCUGCCGAGCUGUUUCCAGACUCCUGAUCCACAGAAACCGUGAGAGGAUAACAUUGUUCUGCUUGAAGCCACUACACCUGCCGUCACUUGUCUCGCAUCAUUAGGGAACCAACGUGCUCUGGAAGACAGCAACUCUCAGGGUCCAUUCCGCUGACACCAGCGCCUCAGAUGACACAGGACGUGGCAUGGUGGCUAUUGACUCAUCAAGGGAACAGCAAUGGCCACUCUGCACCUUGCAUUCCUAUCCUUUUUUGGGCUUCAGAUCAGAAAUCGCAACUUUUGCGUGGAGAUCCUGGGCCUCCACACUGCUGGCCUCCCAUCGUCCCAAGAAUGACUCCCUGGAAAGAGCCUGUUCAGACCCUUUGUGACUGGACUCUACUGUAAGAGGAGAAUCAAAUGCUUGCAAGAAAACUGUAAAGCAGAGUUUCCUAAAAUACAUUUCAUAAGCAACAGGGUGCCUGCUCGCUCAUCACACAGGUUGGAUAAGAUCGACAGGAAAAACCCCUCCAACAGCACAGCAGAGCAGCACAGAGCCCUGCCUCUCUCCAGCUGGGGAAGUCGGGAGCUGAAGUGGAAAGCUGGUUGAAGAACAAUGUGAAAAAAAUGAGGCCUGACUCAAUUCCUAAAAGCGGCUGCCUGACCUUAUGCAAGCCACAGCUUCUAUUUACAAACCCAGGAAACUGGACAAAAUACUGAAAGGAUCCCCUAAGAUAAUGAGAGUUAACAACAGAUGCAAAGCAAGGUUCUGUGGAAAUGUAAGGUCGUGUUACCACGCAGGGCUGAAAAGCUUUCCUGACUACUUUCUGAUUUGCGUAUACUAAGGACUAUUUCAAGAGGGUGACAUUUUAUGAAUUAAAGGCAUGCCACUUCCAUUCACAGUGCUGUUCUGAGAGAUUCGAUUCUGUCCUUGACAAUCUAAGAAAAUCUUAACUCUGCAUUAUGUAAAUACUAAGGACACGGGGUGUUUCGAAUGAGACCAACCUCGUAUCUCUCUCAACUCCCUCUCCUCCCGGGGCCACCCUUUUCUUUAAUUGAAAGCACAAUAAACUUAAUCAGCUGCUCCUAACGAUGCCUGCCCCAGCCUGGGAGAUUCAGCAAGGCUUGGGGCGUGCAUGACAAAGAAACACACACUCCAGAAUCUCACUUUUGUUAUUCCCCAGCCAUCUUUUGUUAUGUGGCAUGGGAAAAAUCUUAAUGAGCCUGCCCUGCUGCUGCAGAAAUUCUUGUCAGAUGAAAAGCAGCCCCUCCUUCCACCUGGCAAGGGCUUACAGAGAACACAGCAGCCCACAUCUACUCACGUUUCCUGAAACAAUCCCCUAUUUAACUUCCUAGGCAACAGAAAAUCUGAAGAAAAUGAGAUACCACAGAAGAUGAAUUUGAUGUAACAAAAAGGUGUUUUAAAAAGAUAAGUAGAGAGGCCAUCCUACAAAAUUUCAUGGCUGACAAUGGUAAAAAAGAUGCAGAAAAGGACCAUCUGGCCUGAAAAAUUCAGCCGGGGUCGGGGGAGGGGGUCCCGCAGCAGAGGCCAGGCCUUCAAGGAUGGGGAUCCUCUUCUGUCUUCCUUUUCUCAAAAUGUUUGUUGGAUGAUGGACUUAAUUUUAAAACCCCAAGUCACUGCGGUUUAGCCAGCUAUGGAUGAUGAAAGCACUACAAUCAUUGAAACUGACAAGGAGGCAGUUUCCUUCAAAAAUACGAAAACUGUACGCAGAGUACAUGGAGAAAAAUGUGACACAAGCAUUUGGACACACUACUAAACAACAACAUGGGACAAUAUAGACAACAAUUGGAAAUACACUUUGAGGAGGUAAAAAGUUCAGUAUUCACUGGCUUCCUUUUGGAGGUUGUUAAAUUGCUGAAAUUCAAAUAAAAGUCAUUGAGCCAUUGUGUCUGUCAGCUGUGCCUCUAUCUCACCCCCGGGUGGGUGGAGGUCCCCCUGGCUUUAUUCUCUGUGUUGUUGCUGCAGAUCCAGAUUCAGGAUUCCGCCCUGAAGGUCUGCGUUCCCUCCCGAGACAGCCUCUGUUUCAAAAUGCACAGCCAUUCUUGACAGACAAGAAAGGGAUGUUGAAAAACAAGUCAUGCUUUGGAUUCGUGUGGCUUUGAGAUACAGAACGAAUGAAUUAUUUCCUGCCUGGCCCAGAACACUUUGCCUCGGUACAGGAGUGUCAAGGCAGAGUGGGUGGGGAAGAUGAAGGGUGAGGGAAGCAAUUGCAAUUAAAAUCCAUAAGGAGCCGGAGAAGGUGGUGCUCAUAGAUGGAUCCCCUAACUGAGUUUAGAGGGCACAGGAGGAGGCGAAGGGAAGCAGUCUUUCAUAUAUGUGACUUAGGAAAUAUAUAAGGAUUGUGUAUUUUACGGCACUUAUGAGAUGGGAUAAUUCCUUGACUCUUUCAUGGGUAGGAACUGGAGUGCACCUCUGGGUCCAGUUGGCCACUUCAGCACUAGCAGGGACGAACUUCAAUCACUUGAACCUGCUGGACUCAACCCCUCAUGGGAGGGAGCACAUAGGCGAGUGGGUGCUGGGACCCUGGCAAGGGC